AAAAAGUAGUCAACAAUAGGCCAAGACUUGUGGUGUUUUCUUACAGAAGUCUGCUCACACACCAGUUGACCAGGGUCUUAAAAGAAUCCUUAUCUACUUCGACCAGAGAAAUUCCAACCCAAGGGAACUUGGAAUUUAUGGAUUUUGAAGGCAACAAGACCUAAGAGUCUGGCUUAUCAACAUAAUGUGCCCAGCAUCACCCACAUGGAGGCUUUAGUUAUAAUCCUCGUGCACUGGUUUGGACCCUGGAAUUCGUUUGAAGAGAUGUAGAUCAUCAGCUGAGUGCCAUGUGCCAACCGUGAGACCCAGACUGAUGUUGGACAUGUUUGUAGUUUUGGGGAAGUUCAGACCCUCACUACAUUUUUCUUCGUGCCAUCCUGAAACCAUCUGUCUGUUUUUCGUUUCAUGGCGUCUUCUACCUUCAGUGGCCAGCUCUUGCCAGGAAUGGAUUUUUCUGAAGUAUCAAGAGGUCACAAAUAACAAGCAAUCCUGGGCUGAUGCUAUCGGAGGGUGUUUUGCACAUGCAGAUGCUGCUUGUCGGCAGGAGUGUUUGACUAGACAAGAACAUCUGGAAAGGGCCAGAGAGAACACAUCAUGUCAUCCCUGUCAUCCUUGUCAAGGCUGUCUCUUGCGCGCGCCGGACUGGCCAGCAGUAACGACGCUGCAACAGGAUCCUUCUGCACACGUUUAUUGGGAGAGCUUGAUUGCAGAGGCGAAGAGACCCCGAGCCCAGAACUGGUGCUGCUUAUAUAGGCCUAGGAGAGGCGUGUCUCACACCCGGAUUGGUUAUGCACUACGCCUCAUUUGCAUGUUCCUCAUCUGAUUGGUUAUUCUCUCUCUCUGUACCUCACAGAGCCUCAUUAUCAUACCUCAUUUGCAUGUCUCACAUCUGAUUGGUUAUACUCUCAAAGCCUCAUUAUCAUGCCCGGGCCAGGCAGUGUCUUUGCAAAACACUUUACUGCAUAUGUACACAUUGGUUGUUUGUCCAAACUUAUGCGUGGUGGCCAGCAGUAGUCAGUGCCACUCUGCAACGGCACAUGUGGCUUCCCACAGCUGUCAUCCCUCAUGUGGUCCUCCUCCUUGGCUGGUACAGGCAUGAGAUCUUGAUGUUCAGGAUGGUGAGGGAGAACUGCUUUCUCCUGACCUCAAUCUUUCCAGACUCUUAUGUAAGGGUUUGGCUUCAAUGCAGAGUGAAAAGAUGGUUCUGUGCUGUUCUAGCUAGUGCAUAGUGUCUCUAAAUAAACAUGCUAAAUGAUCAGGAAAAAAAAAAAAAAAAAA
This 1278-nucleotide long non-coding RNA is filed under the name Mus musculus (house mouse). RNAcentral's name for it is "RIKEN cDNA C230072F16 gene, transcript variant 2 (C230072F16Rik)". Lineage: Eukaryota; Metazoa; Chordata; Mammalia; Rodentia; Muridae. The record is from RNAcentral.